UACGUAGGUCACGAACGUUAUUCGGAAUCACUGGGCUUAAAGGGCGCGUAGGCGGUUCAGUAAGUCGGGUGUGAAAACUCUGGGCUCAACCCAGAGACGCCACCCGAUACUGCUGUGACUUGAGUACGGUAGGGGAGUGGGGAAUUCCUGGUGUAGCGGUGAAAUGCGUAGAUAUCGGGAGGAACACCAGUGGCGAAGGCGACUACCUGGCCUGUUCUUGACGCUGAGGCGCGAAAGCUAGGGGAGCAAACGGG
This 254-nucleotide ribosomal RNA is filed under the name uncultured bacterium. RNAcentral describes it as "partial 16S ribosomal RNA". It matches the Rfam family "Bacterial small subunit ribosomal RNA", at positions 524 to 776 of the family's 1533-position model. The record is from RNAcentral.